This 562-nucleotide ribosomal RNA is filed under the name Tursiops truncatus (common bottlenose dolphin). RNAcentral describes it as "partial 16S ribosomal RNA". It matches the Rfam family "Bacterial large subunit ribosomal RNA", at positions 1811 to 2607 of the family's 2925-position model. Lineage: Eukaryota; Metazoa; Chordata; Mammalia; Artiodactyla; Delphinidae. The record is from RNAcentral.
AAACAUCACCUCUAGCAUAACUAGUAUUAGAGGCACUGCCUGCCCAGUGACAAUCGUUAAACGGCCGCGGUAUCUUGACCGUGCAAAGGUAGCAUAAUCACUUGUUCUCUAAAUAAGGACUUGUAUGAAUGGCCACACGAGGGUUUUACUGUCUCUUACUCUUAAUCAGUGAAAUUGACCUCCCCGUGAAGAGGCGGGGAUAAUGCAAUAAGACGAGAAGACCCUAUGGAGCUUUAAUUAAUCAACUCAAAAAGCAUAAAAUAAUACCACCAAGGGAUAACAAAGCUUUAAAUGAGCUGACAAUUUCGGUUGGGGUGACCUCGGAGUAUAAAAAACCCUCCGAGUGAUUGAAACUUAGGCCUACCAGCCAAAGUAUAGUAUCACUUAUUGAUCCAAAAUUUUGAUCAACGGAACAAGUUACCCUAGGGAUAACAGCGCAAUCCUAUUCUAGAGUCCAUAUCGACAAUAGGGUUUACGACCUCGAUGUUGGAUCAGGACAUCCUAAUGGUGCAGCAGCUAUUAAGGGUUCGUUUGUUCAACGAUUAAAGUCCUACGUGAUCUG